This 624-nucleotide ribosomal RNA is filed under the name Moniliella acetoabutans. Its description in RNAcentral is "LSU rRNA". It matches the Rfam family "Eukaryotic large subunit ribosomal RNA", at positions 1 to 667 of the family's 3401-position model. Lineage: Eukaryota; Fungi; Basidiomycota; Moniliellomycetes; Moniliellales; Moniliellaceae. The record is from RNAcentral.
CCUCAGAUCAGGUAGGAUUACCCGCUGAACUUAAGCAUAUCAAUAAGCGGAGGAAGAGAAACAAACAUGGAUUCCCCUAGUAGCGGCGAGCGAAGCGGGAUGAGCCCAGAUUUGAAAGCUCCCACCAGGGCGCAUUGUAACCUGGAGACGCACCUCGAGCAGUGCGGCCGGACCCAAGUCUGCUGGAAAGCAGCAUCAGAGAGGGUGAAAAUCCCGUGCUUGGCCUGGCUUGUGCUGUGUUGUGGGGUGCGCUCGACGAGUCGCGUUGUUUGGGAAUGCAGCGCAAAGACGGGUGGUAAACGCCAUCCAAGGCUAAAUAUUGGGGAGAGACCGAUAGCGAACAAGUACCGUGAGGGAAAGAUGAAAAGAACUUUGGAAAGAGAGUUAAACAGUACGUGAAAUUGCCAAAAGGGAAGCGCUUGCAGUCAGUGCCGUAGUGCUUGUCGUUCUCCAGGUGUCUGCCUGGGUAUGCGGCUUGCAUGGGGCCCGCGGGAUGUUUCCGGUGGGGGAGAAGGCUGUGCGGAACGUGGCUCUUUCGGGAGUGUUAUAGCCGCGCAGUGGAUACCUUGCUGGGGACGGUCGCGGGCUUAAUGGCUGUCAGCGGCCCGUCUUGAAACACGGACC